RNAcentral lists this ribosomal RNA (505 nucleotides) under uncultured bacterium. RNAcentral describes it as "bacterial SSU rRNA". It matches the Rfam family "Bacterial small subunit ribosomal RNA", at positions 26 to 518 of the family's 1533-position model. The record is from RNAcentral.
UAGGACGAACGCUGGCGGCGUGCCUAACACAUGCAAGUCGAGCGGGACAUUUAACAGAACGGAAGUUUCGGACGGAAGGGAAGAUAAGUGUUCUAGCGGCGGACGGGUGAGUAACGCGUGAGCAACCUGUCCUUCACAGGGGGAUAACACAGCGAAAGUUGUACUAAUACCGCAUAAGACCACGGUACCGCAUGGUGCAGGGGUCAAAGGAGAAAUCCGGUGAAGGGUGGGCUCGCGUCCGAUUAGAUAGUUGGUGAGGUAACGGCCCACCAAGUCAACGAUCGGUAGCCGACCUGAGAGGGUGAUCGGCCACAUUGGGACUGAGACACGGCCCAAACUCCUACGGGAGGCAGCAGUGGGGAAUAUUGGGCAAUGGGGGGAAACCCUGACCCAGCAACGCCGCGUGAGGGAAGAAGGUUUUCGGAUCGUAAACCUCUGUCCUAGGUGAAGAGGAAGAGACGGUAGCCUAGGAGGAAGCCCCGGCUAACUACGUGCCAGCAGCGGC